Molecule: small nuclear RNA, 20 nt
Filed under: Arabidopsis thaliana (thale cress)
Lineage: Eukaryota; Viridiplantae; Streptophyta; Magnoliopsida; Brassicales; Brassicaceae
Description: snRNA_00701
Source: RNAcentral
UGAAGCAGAAUUCACCAAGU